RNAcentral lists this ribosomal RNA (253 nucleotides) under uncultured bacterium. RNAcentral describes it as "partial 16S ribosomal RNA". It matches the Rfam family "Bacterial small subunit ribosomal RNA", at positions 524 to 776 of the family's 1533-position model. The record is from RNAcentral.
UACGUAGGUGGCAAGCGUUGUCCGGAUUUAUUGGGUUUAAAGGGUGCGUAGGCGGCCCUGUAAGUCAGUGCUGAAAUAUCCCAGCUUAACUGGGAGGGUGGCAUUGAUACUGCGGGGCUAGAGUACAGAUGAGGUAGGCGGAAUUGACGGUGUAGCGGUGAAAUGCUUAUAUAUCGUCAAGAACACCUAUAGCGAAGGCAGCUUACUAGGCUGUAACUGACGCUGAGGCACGAAAGUGUGGGGAUCAAACAGG